This 1125-nucleotide long non-coding RNA is filed under the name Anas platyrhynchos platyrhynchos (common mallard). RNAcentral describes it as "lncRNA (ENSAPLG00000027644.1)". The record is from RNAcentral. Lineage: Eukaryota; Metazoa; Chordata; Aves; Anseriformes; Anatidae.
AUGCUGGAGUUUGGAUCGAGCUGCAGAGGGCACCGAGCCUCCAAACUGCCUGCUGACACCUGCAGCUGGAUCUCCCUCAUCAAGGGAGGUUCCUUCACCAGCCUGAAGCCACUUUCCCCAAAUAUCUUUUCUCCUCUGGAGCCGAGCUGUGUGUUUGCUGACUCCUGGUGCUUCUGUCCUCGUAGCCUUUUUGGUGCUAGUCCCUUGGAUCCGUCACAGCUUGACAGAGAGCAGAGUCCUGCUCGUGUCAGAGAACGGGAGCCACAGGCUGCUCCCUCCCCAGCAAAGCACGAGGCAGCUCUUGGAGCCACGUCCUCAUGUGCCAGAGAUCCCAAAGUAACCAGAGGCUCUGCAACGAGCUGUGGUCUGGCUGUUUGCCACGGAAAGAACACGCUCUUCACAAUGUUCCAGGCAGCGUGCGGAGCCAGCUGCUCCAGCAGGAGACAGAUACCUGCGUUGACAUGGCUUUGCUUGUUUUCCCUUGCUCUCAGGGCAUCUCUUCCAGCUGCGCUCGAACAAUUGCAGGGGGUUGCUCCUGGCAGCACGCACCCGAGCGCUUUGCCUCUGCACGCACGGGGAUUAAGGCAAGCGACUGUCUCCCUUCCUCCAGGGGAAUUCAGAGCCUCCUGGAAGAUAAGGAACAUGAAAGCAGGAACAGAAACCCAGCUGAGUAUACACACACUCCCUGCUGCUUCCCCGGUGAGGAGCGGGGAUAAACACACCCGUGCGGGAGCACUGCUGGCAUGGCCGCUCGCCCCAGGGCCUCCCCUCGCUGCCACAAAUGGCUCUGAAAGACUUUUCAAGGGCAGCCGCUGCCUGCAGUUCUGCCCUGUCCUGCCAGCCUCACCCCCGCCAGGCAGGCAGGCGGCUGGAACAACCACGGCUCCGGCUCUCACUGCUUUGGCCUCCUCUGGCGGCUGCAUCGGUCAGAAGUUGCCCCGUUUUCAGGCCCAGCUCGUUUAUGGGAUGGGAGCCUGCCUCGAGAUGUUCCCCUCCACCCCAGCCGACACAUCUGCCAAGGAGGGGGGGUUGCUGGCUGUUUCUCCACGCAGCAGGCAUAUCGGGACGGUUCACAUUGAACCGAAGACAAAACCGAAGCCCCCAGAAAGUGACCGUGGUGUGUGA